AAAUAAAUAAAAUAUGCAACCUUUAUAUUGAAAAAUUGAUUUCUUUAGGUACUGAAGCUGAAUACUGUAAUGAAUAUUAAUCCAAUACAGUCAUUUAUGAAAUUUAUUAUAUGAUAUUUUGUACAUACCCUGCAGUUCCACAAGUCAUCGGCUCCGCCAGCAAAGCCAACUGUUUCGGCUGCAGAGCCGACGCUCUCCCGACUAUCGAUGAUAUUCCAAAUAAAUUCAUUUCUGUUUUGUUUCUUGUCGACUGCUAACCAGACGCUCUCAGUCGCCGAGCGCAUAGGUGUCGUAAGAAGCGGAACAUGCAAAGACAUUAUAUGUAUCUUGUUUGAAGGGAGGGGGACGAGUAAUAGGGAAAUAACAAUAAUAGCUAGAUUUUUGUGACAAGUAGACGAGAUUUUAAUUGAGUGCCAGUGUUUAUAAAAAUGGUAGUGUUUUCGAAUUUAAUUCAAUAAUCCAGGCAAUUCCAUCAAUGGAUUCAUUUUACAAGCAACAACGCGUCCUACUCCCUGAAGAGAUCAUUUAAGCUUUAAGGUUAAUCGGACAUGUGGACCCCAUAUUCCAACUCAACUAAAAAGAAAGUGGCCCUAACUCCGAAGGACAACAAGACGCAUUUUAUAUUUAUUUGUAAUAUUAUUUAAAUAAUAAACAAAAUUUAAAAAAAAAAUUAUCACUUCAAAAAGGGGUUAGGAUUAAAUGAAUAAACAGCGGUGAAAAAGCGAAGAAUACACCGAUGAUUUACCGUUUUAAAUACGCUUAAAAAGCGGUGAUUAAAAGCGAUGAUUUUGCGCUUUUUCAGCGGUGUUUGUGCGAAUUUUUUCAUAGCGGUGACUGCCAAUGUUUAAAACAUCGCCGAUUUUCAUACAAAGCGCUCUUUAUCGCUCUUAAGCGGUGAUUCAUCGGUGGGCGGAAAUGCAGGGUAGAUUCGGCUAUUACUUUUUCUAUGCUAUAUUCUUUUAUUAUCAUGUAAGGGUAAUGAAAAACCAGAAUUUUUUACAUGGUGCCAAUUGAUUAAAAGUAAAAUACACUUAAAAUCUAAGAACUUGUAAAGUGAAAAUAAAUCAAAUAUACAAUGCAUACAGUUGUCGAGUGUCAAUGUAUGCGUAUAAGAAAGCUGCCACAGGCGGAAGUGUUCCGACUGUCGUUUGCCCGUUACUAGCUAGUGUGAAUGCGAACCAGAAAUUUCAUCAUUUUUCUGGGAUAUCGAUAGAUAUUGAGGAAUAAAUGAGAAAACAAUUCAACAUUUUUUUAAAAGUGUAGAGGUUUUGUUGGUGGGCGUGGCAAUAAGUUAUUACAAUACAAUAUACAAUUUUUCAAAAAUGUGGGCCAGCCAGUCUUGGGCGGCUUCAGACUUUAGACUCACAGGACUAAUAAAAUUAUGAAAAAAUGUUAAACCUGGGUUUAACGCGGCGAUGCAGUUUUGUGCGGUUUUCGGGCGUUUGAGUAUGCUUGAUAAUCAAAACAAGACUAAUGAAAUUAUGAAAACAUCGAAAAGUGGUUCAAAUCUGUGGGCUU
Molecule: non-coding RNA, 1518 nt
Organism: Drosophila melanogaster (fruit fly)
Lineage: Eukaryota; Metazoa; Arthropoda; Insecta; Diptera; Drosophilidae
Source: Ensembl